GUGCUCACUUCGGCAGCACAUAUACUAAAAUUGGAAUGAUACAGAGAAGAUUAAAUUGUACCCCUAUAGUAGGAUUUCUUGGGUCUCUUGGGAAACUGACCAAAGCAGA
This 109-nucleotide small nuclear RNA is filed under the name Octodon degus (degu). The record is from RNAcentral. Lineage: Eukaryota; Metazoa; Chordata; Mammalia; Rodentia; Octodontidae.